GACGAACCGUGCGAACGUUGUUCGGAUUCACUGGGCUUAAAGGGCGCGUAGGCGGAUUCGCAAGUCCGGGGUGAAAUCUUUCGGCUCAACCGGAAAAGUGCCUUGGAUACUGCGAGUCUCGAGUGAGACAGGGGCCGCGGGAACUUCCGGUGGAGCGGUGAAAUGCGUUGAUAUCGGAAGGAACGCCGGUGGCGAAAGCGCGCGGCUGGAUCUCUUCUGACGCUGAGGCGCGAAAGCUGAGGGGAGCAAACGGGG
Molecule: ribosomal RNA, 255 nt
Filed under: uncultured bacterium
Lineage: Bacteria
Description: partial 16S ribosomal RNA
Rfam family: Bacterial small subunit ribosomal RNA
Source: RNAcentral